UCUUUUAAUGGGAAUUAAUUGUUUGAUUUUUGGUCAGUGUUAAAUAGUCAAUUAUUGUACUAUCUUUUUUCAACGUCUCUUAUCAAUUAUUCAGCUAUUUUCUGGCUCAUGCUAUUUUCGACUCACCCUGUUCUCUUUUGUUGAGAGAAGCUGAAAAUGAAUCCUGUUUGUGUUUCUUGAAUUGAUGAGGUAAUCAACACUCAAUUGAUGGUUUCUCGGUAAAUUUUUUCCAAAAAUGGAUCAAGCAUUUUUCUCCAUAUUUUAGCUUGAAACAAAGAGGUUGUUAUGGCUUAUUGGCAUUACAUUUGCAGUAUGUAAAUUAAAUUAUUAGUUUUAUUAUAGAAUUGUAAUUUUUUUAAUUAUAAUUAUAGCAUGUAAAUAAUUUAUGUAAAUCAAUAAAAAAAUCAAUUCUUUU
Long non-coding RNA from Arachis duranensis, 415 nucleotides. RefSeq lists it as uncharacterized. The transcript is spliced from 2 exons. The record is from RefSeq and is a predicted model, not a curated record. NCBI's taxonomy places the organism in Eukaryota, Viridiplantae, Streptophyta, Magnoliopsida, Fabales, Fabaceae.